RNAcentral lists this ribosomal RNA (421 nucleotides) under uncultured archaeon. Its description in RNAcentral is "partial 16S ribosomal RNA". It matches the Rfam family "Archaeal small subunit ribosomal RNA", at positions 323 to 746 of the family's 1478-position model. The record is from RNAcentral.
CUACGGGUGGCUGCAGUUAGGAAUAUUUUGCAAUGCGCGCAAGCGUGACAAAUUGAGCCAGAGUGAUUUUCAUAUUGAAAAUCUUUUGUGGAAUGUAAAAAGUUUCACGAAUAAGGACUGGGUAAGACUAGUGCCAGCGCCGCGGUAAUACUAGCGGUCCAAGUCGCAGCCAUUUUUAUUGGGUCUAAAACAUCCGUAGCUUGUUUGAUAAGUUUCUUGUGAAAUCUGAUAUCUCAAAUAUCAGGCAUGCAAGAAGUACUGUCAAGCUAGAGACUGGAAGACGUGAGAAGUACGUUUAAAGUAGCGGUAAAAUGUGUUAAUCUUAAACGGACUUACAAUAGCGAAGGCAUCUCACGAGGACAGUUCUGACAGUAAGGGAUGAAGGCUAGGGGCGCAAAACGGAUUAGAUACCCGUGUAGUC